RNAcentral lists this non-coding RNA (216 nucleotides) under Phaeobacter gallaeciensis. The record is from RNAcentral. Lineage: Bacteria; Pseudomonadati; Pseudomonadota; Alphaproteobacteria; Rhodobacterales; Roseobacteraceae.
CAUCUCUGAAAGACCAAAGGUUCCGACGGGUCCAAGACCCAAGGAUGAAAAGGGAACACGGUGAGGUGUAGCCAUCAGGCGCCAAAUCCGUGACUGCCCCCGCAACUGUGAGCGGAGAGCCACCGGGCAUAGCCACUGGUCCCUAUCAGGACUGGGAAGGCCUCGGACCGGCAUCGACCCGCGAGUCAGGAGACCUGCCGUUGGAAGACGUGGCCA